CCUACGGGUGGCAGCAGUGGGGAAUAGUGCACAAUGGGGGAAACCCUGAUGCAGCGACGCCGCGUGAGUGAAGAAGUAUCUCGGUACGUAAAGCUCUAUCAGCAGGGAAGAAAAUGACGGUACCUGACUAAGAAGCCCCGGCUAACGACGUGCCAGCAGCCGCGGUAAUACGGAGGGGGCAAGCGUUCUCCGGAUUUACUGGGGGGAAAGGGAGCGUAGACGGCAGCACAAGUCUGGAGUGAAAUCCCGGGGCUUACCCCCGGAACUGCUUUGGAAACUGUGCGGCUGGAGUGCCGGAGGGGUAAGCGGACUUCCUCUUGUAGCCGUCUACUUCGUAGAUCUUAGGAG
Molecule: ribosomal RNA, 348 nt
Filed under: uncultured bacterium
Lineage: Bacteria
Description: partial 16S ribosomal RNA
Rfam family: Bacterial small subunit ribosomal RNA
Source: RNAcentral